RNAcentral lists this ribosomal RNA (298 nucleotides) under Patescibacteria group bacterium. RNAcentral describes it as "partial 23S ribosomal RNA". It matches the Rfam family "Bacterial large subunit ribosomal RNA", at positions 2611 to 2925 of the family's 2925-position model. The record is from RNAcentral.
UCAGAACGUCGUGAGACAGUUCGGUCUCCUAUCUGCCAUAGGCGUGAAAACUUGAAAGGGCUCAUCCCUAGUACGAGAGGACCGGGAUGGAUGUGCCUCUGGUGUACCAGUUGUUCUACCAAGAGCAUUGCUGGGUAGCUACGCACAGUUUGGAUAAACGCUGAAAGCAUCUAAGCGUGAAGCCGUCCUUAAGAUUAGGUUUUGAUCUCCCGCGAGACUAGCGGGUUGAUAGGUUGCAGGUGUAAGCACAGCGAUGUGUUUAGCCGAGCAAUACUAAUUGAUCUAAAUGUUUAACAAU